AAAAGUCCACCUUAAAAUAAGUCUGUUCGGUAUAAACCCUCAAUACUUGGUUGGGACUCCUUCUGCAUGAAUUACUGCAUUAAUGCGGCGUGGCAUGGAGGCGACCAGCCUGUGGCACUGCUGAGGUGUUAUAGAAGCCCAGGUUGAUUUGAUAGCGGCCUUCAGCUUGACUACAUUGUU
This is a long non-coding RNA of Bufo bufo (common toad), 180 nucleotides long. RefSeq lists it as uncharacterized. The transcript has 3 exons. The record is from RefSeq and is a predicted model, not a curated record. NCBI's taxonomy places the organism in Eukaryota, Metazoa, Chordata, Amphibia, Anura, Bufonidae.